CUGGGUGCUAUCAUUUCUCCCAGCUCCCAGAUUCAACGUGCUAUUGAGUAGUUGCUGUCCUGGGUUUUGGGGGCCAUGGGAGCCCUGCAGACAGCACAUGAACCAGGCAGCCCUGUCCACACCCCUCGUGGGCCUCCCAGUGUGGCGAUAAAGAAGGAAGAGGCUGGGCACGGUGGCUCAUACCUGUAAUUCCAGCACUUUGGGAGGCCGAAGACGGUGGAUCACGAGGUCAGAGAUUCGAGACCAGCCUGGCCAGCAUGGUGAAACCCUGUCUGUACUAAGAAUACAAAAAAUUAGCCAGGUGUCGUGGCGCAUACCUGUAACCCCAGCUACUCGGGAGGCUGAAGCAGGAGAAUUGCUUGAACCCAGGAGGCGGAGGUUACAGUGAAUCAAAAUUGCGCCACUACACUCCAGCCUGGGUAACAAAGUGAG
RNAcentral lists this long non-coding RNA (432 nucleotides) under Homo sapiens (human). RNAcentral's name for it is "HSALNT0387163". Lineage: Eukaryota; Metazoa; Chordata; Mammalia; Primates; Hominidae. The record is from RNAcentral.